CAGAGCCCUCCCUCCCCAGGUCCAUAUAGCUCCCUAGCGCCCAUAGAGCCCUCCCUCCCCAGGUCCCGUAUAGCUCCCUAGCACCCAUAGAGCUCUCCCCAGGUCCCAUAUAGCUUUCUAGUCCCUAUAGAACCCUUCCCACUCCCAUGGGGUCUUCAAGUCCCAUCUAUAUCUAAAACUAUAUCUAUGUCUCUGCUCAAGGAGCAUGGAGUCCCUGCAAAUCCCUUAUAGCCCCUCCCAGAGUCUAUACAGCCCCAUAUAAUUAUCCUCAACUCCCAUAUAGCCCCCUCAGGCCCAUCAAGCCUGUAUAGUUCUCUAGGUCCCCUAUAGAACCCUACACAACUCUUCCAGGGUCCUUAUAUAGUCCCUUGGCCUGUUUUGACUCAUAAAGUCCCCAGAAGCCACAUAGCCCCAUACACCUCUAUGCCAUAGAGCUCUCAUUGAUAAGGCGACCAUACGUCCCGUUUUGGCCCGCACACAGUCCCUUUGUUCAGCCCUGUCCCGGCCAUCCUGACUUUUUUCCCCAAAGGAGGCAUGUGUCCCCUUUGCUCUUGCUGACUUGAUCAGUGGGCAAGAGCGAACAGGACAAAUGCCCACUUUUUGGGAGGGAAAAAAAAGUGCAGUGUAGAGGGGGUGAGCGGAGAUGCCAGCCCCCCGUAGUGGGGAGCCAGGGCUGGGGUGAGGAGCAGGGUUCCAGCAACCGGGCAACAACCUCGCUGUGAGUGGGGGUUCCAGCCAGUAUGGGGGGAGUCUUCGGGCAAAUAGCUGGGGGUGUCCUGUUUUCUCUGUGGGAAAUAUAGUCACCCUACUCAUUGACAUAUAGCCUAUGAGGUCCUAUAUUCUGUAUACAGGAGACCUUUGUCCACCUAAUAUCAUGUAAAAGUGGCCAUAGGGUGGGCAGUGAAGUGUAUGAGACCCUAUUAAGUGCCCAUUGCCAAAGCCUUCUUUAUGUGUAGGACUUGCAUUUUCAUUGAAUUCCUUUGAGGGGAGAGGAUUUAUUUGACAGCCACGUUUUGGUCAUUCAGCCAAUAUUUCCCAGAAGAAGAUUCAGCUUUAUAAAUGUGUGGGGGAAAGUGGACUCUGGUAAUUACUCUGACUAAUUUAAAUGGACGAGAUAAAAAGAAAAUGGAAGGGUGAGGUUUUAAAAUUGUACACGACCGCGCUGACUUCUUACCCAGUGCCACAUCACAGAAGACUGCUUGGCAGGAUGAUUUUACCAUCCCGUAACUGCUGUGAAAUGGCCUCCCCGUGACUUCAUGCGAGAUGGAUUCUGAAAGAUCUGUGAACAAGAAAAAAGUCAUCAAUUCCAGCGAACCUUGCAGUGAAUUUAUUUCAGUGCCUUCCUAGCUGGCCAUUACUCUGUAUAUGAGCAGUUUCCUUUGCAGCCUGUAAAUGGUGUGGCCUCCCCACUGUGCACUCAUUGUCUCUAAACCUCCUUUCCCCCAUAUGCUGCUCUCCCUGAAAGACCUUUAGGUGAAGCCAGAGCAAAGAGAAGGAUAGUUUUACUGAUUGCCACAUAAAAAAGAUAAUUCCCCUAUCACAAGGAGCUGCAGAGCCAGAAAUAGAUGCCAGUUCUUCUGACUGCCUGUUCUGUGCCUUAAUCACUAGGGCUAGGCCAUGCUCCCUCGAGACAGGGAAGUGAAAUUGGAAGCAAUGCAUUUAGUGAACAUGGAUGCUCGUUGCGUUUGGUGCUUUAAUACCGCCCUGGAUACAUGGACUACUAAUAAAAUUUGUCAUGCUAACUGCAUUUGCAGCUAAUGCUACCCAGGACAAGGGCCUGAUAAAUCUCCCUUAGACGUCAAUUGCAAAACUCCCAUUGGCUUCCACGGCAGCAGGGUCAGGCCCUAAAUUAUUGAAUAUAAUCCUGUGCUGCAGAGAACUAUACACUGAUCUCUGUCUGGAGGGAGUAGGAAAGAAAUUUCCCCUGUCAGAGAUAACACUGUACAAUUAAUCACAAAGACCCUGAGGGGUAUGCGGAGGGAGGUAGCCUUCUUCAGUAGCAAAAAGGAUUGGCCAUUUGCAGAGAUGGGAUACCAAAAUAGAGGGUAUGAUUCCCUAGCAAAUUCUCUGGCAUGUUGGUAGAGGGCGCUGCCUGUUUCAUCUACGAAUGUGCUUGGAAUUUUCAGUGUACACCUUGUUUAAUCUGCCAGCAAGGCACUGGGCUACAGCAAAAUGGGUGGGGUAGUGUGAGAGUAUGGACAGACUGGAUUCUCUUGGAAAGGGAGUUUGCGCCAAAGAUUGAACAUGAAACUACUUGAGUGGAACAUGCCUGCUGGAUCAUUUGUUUUCAGUGUACACACCCUACCCGGGGCUGGAAUUCAACUCCCAGAACUAGGGAGGCCCAUCUUGGCAUUGGCCCAUGAGAGGUAUCUUCUCAGGAUCCACCUUUGGACUCCCCUGCUUGGCCCCAGCCUGACUCCACCCCUUAAGAGGAAGAGAAGGCAGAGGCUGUAGAAUUAUUUCAACCCCAGCCAAAGGCUUUUCUCUGGACCAGAUUAAUCACUGACGCAACUCCACUGCAUUGGUUUACCCUAGGGAUGGAUUUGGCCCACCAUGUCAAAGUCCAUCUGGCCACAUUUCCUGCAUGCUAACAACGCUGGAGGGGAUCAGAGAGAGAACCCUGUUCUGCAGGGCUGACAAAACCCCACCCACUCUUCUGGAGCAAACCCAGUUCCCCUCCUCCUUCAGUGCUUGGCUGUCUGCAUGGAGCCAUGAUUUCAUCUCUGCAGCCCUUUGUGGUUUAUUGUUUGGCAGGAAUGAAUCAGGGGCUUAUUCACUGGAAAGAUUUUUUUUUCUUUGCUUUUCAACCAGAUGCAAUCAGUAACCAGGUUACAGUUGUUCAGCAAACUAGAGAGCGGUUUAUUACCCAGUAACAGCUGCCUCUGGUGACUAUGCUAGCAACACAUGCACACACACAAAACUCAUCCAGUAGCCCACCCAACAUACACAUGCAAACCUCAGUUUGUAUUCCACACGCACACAAAUCUUAAUCUUGUAGCCCCUAUUAUAUACAGACACACAAACUUCAUUUUGUAGCCCAGAUCACACAGGUACGGUACAUACCUCAGCGAGUAGACCAUAGUUUACACACAAACACACACGCCUCAGCUAGUAGCCCACAUUACAGAUGCACACACACUACACCCCUCAGCCAGAGUAGCUCACCUGUGGAGCUGGCAAAUUUCCCCCCAGGCUCCUGGCCUCUCUCACAACUUUCCUUUUUUGACAAAUGUUGCAAAACAAGACCAAUAAGUCAAAUCCAAUGUAAAAUAAAUUAUUUCAAAGACCUGUCCUUUAUUCAAAUAUGUUUAAGAUCUGUCCUGCUGGCUCCGUGGGAUUCCUUGGCACAUGCUCAGGCAAAAUAAAUCCAGUUCAUUUGCAGGGCUGGAUUCUCAGCUGCUUUGCAUCUUGCUGGUAUCGUUGGGAAUUUAACCUGAAUCCCUUGAUUCCUCAUCCUGUAGUUCAGCCACAAGGCCAGCCUGAGUGGUGCAUGUAACUGGUUGAGAAAGCAGAUCUUGCCAGGAUGGUGCACCGUGUUUUAUUUUCUGGCAGCCUAGACCACACAAGCAAAACCCCUUCACCCCUGGUUAGUGAAUAAGUCACUUCAAGCUUGACUUUCAAAAGCCUUCACAAUUGGGACCAGAUUUUCCAGUGAGCUCUGCUCUCAUUUAGGCACUUAAAUGAAGUGGCAAGGUUUGCAAAAAUGCUCGGAAUCCUGCAGACCCUCUUGUCCCAACUGGUAGUCAGCUGGUCAGCUGUCAUUGCUACUUAUCAUGUAGUCAAUCAGCUCAUCCUUGCCUUGUGCUCUCCUCACAACGGUUUGUUGUAUCCACAUGUUGUGUCUCAUCUUGUCAAUCUUUUUGGGGCAAAGACCACCUUUUGGUUAUGGGUUUGAACAGCAUCUCGCACAAUGCUAAACACU
This is an RNA transcript of Mauremys reevesii (Reeves's turtle), 3922 nucleotides long. It is a transcript of the gene named SLAM family member 9-like, with no coding region annotated. The transcript has 2 exons. Lineage: Eukaryota; Metazoa; Chordata; Testudines; Geoemydidae. The record is from RefSeq and is a predicted model, not a curated record.